CCCAGCGUGGUCGAGUGGUCUAAGGCGCCAGACUCAAUCGGGAGCUUUUUGAGAAUUCUGGUCCCUGAAUGAGGGCGUGGGUUCGAAUCCCACCGCUGGGA
This 101-nucleotide transfer RNA is filed under the name Rodentolepis nana. RNAcentral's name for it is "Hymenolepis nana tRNA". It matches the Rfam family "tRNA". Rfam says of the family: Transfer RNA (tRNA) molecules are approximately 80 nucleotides in length. Lineage: Eukaryota; Metazoa; Platyhelminthes; Cestoda; Cyclophyllidea; Hymenolepididae. The record is from Rfam by way of RNAcentral.